UUUAUGUUCUCAAACUACCACUCAAGGUCAAAAGUCACAAAAAUAGCACUUAGUGUUUUAUCAAAAGACACAAACUUAGGGUUUAGAGUUAAAGGGUGGGGUUUAGGAUUUAGGGUUUAUGGUUUAGGGUUUAGAGUUUAGGGUUUAGGGUUUAGAUUUUAGGGUUUAGGAUUUAGGGUUUAGGGUUUAGGGUUUAGAGUUUAGGGUUUAGGGUUUAGAGUUUAGGGUUUGGGGUUUAUAGUUUAGGGUUUAAGGUUUAGAGUUUAGGGUUUAGAGUUUAGGGUUUAGGGUUUAGAGUUGAGAAAUGAGGUUUUGGGGAUAAGAUUUCAAAUUUUGAAAAAUUAAAAAAUUAAAAUUUUCAAAGGAUAAACUUAGAAAGAUGCUAUUUUGGUCAUUUUAGUUUUUUUGUGCUAUUUUUGUGAUAUAAACUUAUAAAGGUGCUAUUUUGGAGAUUUGCCC
Molecule: long non-coding RNA, 459 nt
Filed under: Brassica napus (rape)
Lineage: Eukaryota; Viridiplantae; Streptophyta; Magnoliopsida; Brassicales; Brassicaceae
Description: long non-coding RNA (BNAP_LNC013642)
Source: RNAcentral